Oncorhynchus gorbuscha (pink salmon) is the source of this 1012-nucleotide long non-coding RNA. RefSeq lists it as uncharacterized. The record is from RefSeq and is a predicted model, not a curated record. NCBI's taxonomy places the organism in Eukaryota, Metazoa, Chordata, Actinopteri, Salmoniformes, Salmonidae. The transcript is spliced from 5 exons.
CCAUUUGCUUCUCAUAUUCAUAGAGAACUUUCCUCCCAAGGCCGCCAUAGAGCCUAGCUCAACCUUGGUUCCCUUCCUGCACAACUACUGUGACGUUUGCAACAAGAAGCCCUCUGGCUUUAUUGUCAAGGGAAACAUGUUUACAUUGCCAAGCAAGUCUCUCAAGUGCUGAAGCUACAGCUGAAGAUCAGGGAGCAGCAGGUCCUGCUCUUCUGCUUCAUGAACUUCCUCACGCUGGAGGGUGCAGUGCACGUGCUCCAGUUCUGCCUCACGGUGGAAACUGCUCCAGGACCCAGAGCUGAGCAACAGUCAGCUGUUGGCAGACUUCCCAUCUCCUCACAGUCUGGACUCAGUUCGUGGACAAGAUGCUGCCUGAUGUCAAUCUAGCUCUUCAAUGACCUGUUCAAGAACAACGCCAACCGAUCGGAGAGAGCAGAGAAGAAACACAACCAGAACUACUUCAUGAAGAUGAUCACUGUGGAAGGGGUCUACUUUAUGUACAGUAUGUGAAAAGUUAUCAAAUAUUAUACACCCCUAGUAAGUAUGGCACUCACUGUAUUCAGUGCAGUACACUGCACAACAUAGUUUACCACAAUUCAUCAACAACAGUUAAGGGCUGUUUGACUGUACUGCAUGAUUUAAACAGAAGUAAACACAUUUCAGUUCAGUGAUGAAAAGACCAGAUUAGGAUGUGUCAGAAUUUGUAUUCAUUUGCAUCUAUUUUCCUCAGUUGACUGGACCUGGUUCUUUUAGAACUGUUUCCUGAACUGAACAAGCAGGGACAGCAGGAGACUGCUUCUAACAUGGCUCCAUGGACGUGGCAAGAGGAUUGUCUGGCUUUAGUCUCUGCUUCAUCUGCUGCAUGUUGUUGGAAUAAACUGUAUAUACAGCACUUAAAACCACUCAUACCGCUGCACUUGUGAUAAUGUUUACUGAUUCAUAAAACAAUAAUACUGAAAAGGGGAAGUGACUGAACAUGAUUGUGGUAAUAAAAGAAAAAUGUCUGAAGACU